UCAACCAUGACCUUCAUCUCCAUCUUCAUCUGCACACUGGCUCUCUGCACUCAAGGAUCCAGAGGUCAGGUGACUGUGACUCAGAGUCCUGCAGUAAAACAUGUUGAUCCAGGGGCUUCAGUCACCAUCAACUGUAAAACCAGUUCUAAUGUUUAUCGCUGGAGUGAUGGAGAUGAAGCUUUAGCCUGGUAUCAGCAGAAACCUGGAGAAGCUCCUAAACUCCUGAUUAGAUAUGCAAAGAAGUUAGAAUCAGGUAUUCCAGAUCGUUUCAGUGGCAGUGGAUCUGGAUCUGACUUCACUCUGACCAUCAGUAGAAUUGAGACGGGAGAUGCAGGAGAUUAUUACUGUCAGAGUCGACAUGAGAUCAGUGGUACCAACAUCUUCACACAGUGUUAUAUGGUGGUACAAAAACCUGGCUGAGUGGAAGUGUACAGAGUGAAUGAUUGUACUGUAUCACAUCCUCCCCCCCUCAGCACCUGCAGUCGGUCCCAGCUGCAGCAGUUCAGUCAAUCAUUCACUCUGUACAGAAAAUACUUUACUCACAAUUAACUUAC
Trichomycterus rosablanca is the source of this 554-nucleotide non-coding RNA. NCBI's taxonomy places the organism in Eukaryota, Metazoa, Chordata, Actinopteri, Siluriformes, Trichomycteridae. The record is from the annotation of a RefSeq genome assembly.